GGAUUGUGGCUCAGUGGUAGAGUGCUUGCCUAGCAUGCAUGAGGCACUGGGUUUGAUUCUCAGCACCA
Molecule: transfer RNA, 68 nt
Filed under: Marmota monax (woodchuck)
Lineage: Eukaryota; Metazoa; Chordata; Mammalia; Rodentia; Sciuridae
Description: tRNA.Ala
Rfam family: tRNA (bases 5-65)
About the family: Transfer RNA (tRNA) molecules are approximately 80 nucleotides in length. Their secondary structure includes four short double-helical elements and three loops (D, anti-codon, and T loops).
Source: RNAcentral